GGGCUAGUUGAGCUCACCCUUUUCCUUGUUCCAUUUUUCUUCUCAGGAGACGAGAAUGUAGCGAGUACUAGUCGGGGUGUGGAAUGAUGGUUCUAGAAGUUGUUCUAGUAGUCCUCACUAUUCUGUAAAAUAGUGUAUUAAUAAUUGUAAAUGAGGACUUAUUUGAGUGUGGAUAUUGUCUAGAUGAAAAUAUUUGUAUUUAAACUCACAGUUUUUAUGUUGUAUUAAUAAAGUUGUAG
RNAcentral lists this long non-coding RNA (239 nucleotides) under Panax ginseng (ginseng). RNAcentral describes it as "long non-coding RNA (PGIN_LNC004956)". The record is from RNAcentral. Lineage: Eukaryota; Viridiplantae; Streptophyta; Magnoliopsida; Apiales; Araliaceae.